Molecule: ribosomal RNA, 497 nt
Filed under: uncultured bacterium
Lineage: Bacteria
Description: partial 16S ribosomal RNA
Rfam family: Bacterial small subunit ribosomal RNA
Source: RNAcentral
GAUGAACGCUGGCGGCGUGCCUAAUACAUGCAAGUCGAGCGAACGGACGAGAAGCUUGCUUCUCUGAUGUUAGCGGCGGACGGGUGUGUAACACGUGGAUAACCUACCUAUAAGACUGGGAUAACUUCGGGAAACCGGAGCUAAUACCGGAUAAUAUUUUGAACCGCAUGGUUCAAAAGUGAAAGACGGUCUUGCUGUCACUUAUAGAUGGAUCCGCGCUGCAUUAGCUAGUUGGUAAGGUAACGGCUUACUAAGGCAACGAUGCAUAGCCGACCUGAGAGGGUGAUCGGCCACACUGGAACUGAGACACGGUCCAGACUCCUACGGGAGGCAGCAGUAGGGAAUCUUCCGCAAUGGGCGAAAGCCUGACGGAGCAACGCCGCGUGAGUGAUGAAGGUCUUCGGAUCGUAAAACUCUGUUAUUAGGGAAGAACAUAUGUGUAAGUAACUGUGCACAUCUUGACGGUACCUAAUCAGAAAGCCACGGCUAGCUACGUG